This 1167-nucleotide long non-coding RNA is filed under the name Anas platyrhynchos platyrhynchos (common mallard). Its description in RNAcentral is "lncRNA (ENSAPLG00000025265.1)". The record is from RNAcentral. Lineage: Eukaryota; Metazoa; Chordata; Aves; Anseriformes; Anatidae.
GGAGUAAGUUCUCUUCCUUAACAAAAUAGUUAACUAUGCCUUGCCUCCUUGAAAGCAGUGGUUUUAAUCCUUACUUGUAGUGAAUUGUUCUGUGCAAUUUCUGGCAUUUGCUAGAAACCUAUCAGUAGGAUCCAGCAUCUACAGCAAGGCAACAUACUGUUCAGAUGCUCAAAAAGGACAAAGGGUUUUGCACUAUCCCAGGAUCCUUGUAGUUCCUUUAAACUGAAAGAACUCUGCAUGGAAGCAACAGCUUGCUGAUAUGAGCAAGAGAUUCACCUUUGACUCCUGAUUUCAUUUUCUGCUCUUUUUUUCAGGCAAAAAGGCAAUAUUUUGGUGCUAAGGUAUAAUCAAAUUGUUGCUCUGUUAGAACUUCAGCAUGAGACACAACUCUGAGAAGACCUGGAAAACCUUUGUAAAUGAAAUGAAACACAGAGGAGAAAAUUCAACUUCAGGUUUCUGCUCUCCUUUAACAUUUAACAAGAUGCAAAUUCCUCCUGGAAUCUGACUAUGUUGGUAUGUGCCUUUCAGUAGCAAUUUUAGUUUGAGGAAUGGCUAGAUGUACUUAUAUGCUGAAGUAUGAAAACAAUAUGGUAACCUAAGAUAAAAGGACAUGUUUCUCUUCUUUCCUCUCAUCAUAACACACAUGGCACACUGGGAAAUCUUUUCUUGAAUGUUGCCAAAUCUGGACUGUAUAGUGCAUAUAAUGGCACAUAAAAUUUUAGUCACCUUGAAAAAUACAUAGACUUAAGAAACAUGGAAUGGAAUUUUGAUUUACAGUUAAAACAGGGCCAGUGUCAUGUACAUAGCAUGAAACUUAUAUAAAAAUAUAAAGCCUAUUGAACUAUAUGAUUUACAUUUUAUAGUCUUCUGUACAUAGGAACUUAAAAAGACAGCAAGAACAUAACAAAUUAUCUUAUUUGAUCUAAGUAUUAGAUCAAAUUUUGUUUUUGUUUUCUCUGCAAGAUUUCUAGAUUUACUCAUCUUAGAGUGUCUUCCACUCUGGAUUGCCAUCUUCUUCUUAACUUCGACAUUUAAUCAAAUCAACAGUUACCCGCCUAGGAUGCUGUCAAGUUGAUCUAUGAUGAUGAAGUAAAUUUUUCUCAUAUAUUGUGUGGGAAAAGCUUUAUUCAGGGAAAACUAAAUAAAUUGUGAAGGACAAAAAAUACA